This 486-nucleotide ribosomal RNA is filed under the name uncultured bacterium. Its description in RNAcentral is "partial 16S ribosomal RNA". It matches the Rfam family "Bacterial small subunit ribosomal RNA", at positions 28 to 523 of the family's 1533-position model. The record is from RNAcentral.
GACGAACGCUGGCGGCGUGCUUAACACAUGCAAGUCGAACGAGAUCCAAUGUGUAGCAAUACACAGGAAGAUCUAGUGGCGAACGGGUGAGGAACACGUGAGAAACGUACCCCAGACUCUGGGAUAACAAUUCGAAAGGAUUGCUAAUACCGGAUGACGUCGGGAGUCCGCAUGGACAUCUGACGAAAGGGAUUCCGGUUUGGGAGCGUCUCGGGGACCUAUCAGCUAGUUGGAGGGGUAACGGCCCACCAAGGCAACGACGGGUAGCUGGUCUGAGAGGAUGGUCAGCCACACUGGGACUGAGACACGGCCCAGACUCCUACGGGAGGCAGCAGUGGGGAAUCUUGCGCAAUGGGCGAAAGCCUGACGCAGCAACGCCGCGUGCGGGAAGAAGGCUUUCGGGCUGUAAACCGCUUUCAGUAGGAACGAAACUGACGGUACCUACAGAAGAAGGAGCGGCCAACUAUGUGCCAGCAGCCGCGGUAA